UAAUAAGUUAUUUAUAGAUGUUGUUUGAUAAGAAGGUUAUUUUUUAAUAAAAUCAUUUUUUAUUUUUGAGGGUUUUUGUAGAGGUUAUCAAUAAAAUUUUUUUAAUUAUAGUUUAAUUGUAUUGUGAGAGGUUAUUGAAAUAUGUUGAAAAUUUAAUUGUUUAAAAGUAGAUUUUAUUUAUUGUACCUUGUGUAUCAGGGUUUAUUAAAAAUUUUGUAAGUAUUUAUAUUUCCCGAUUUAAAGAGAGCUAAUUAUUUUUGUUAUUUAAUGUGGAAUAAUUAUUAAUUAAAGAUAAUUAGUUAUGAAACGUUAUCCGUUCUUUAAGAUAUCUGGUUUUUAAAGAAAUGAAUUUAAUUCAGUUAUUGAGUGUUAUUGAUUUGAUUAAUUAAGUUAAUAUGACUUAAUAAAAAUGUUUGGUGGGAUAAGCUUUUGAGCAUGAUUUAUAAAAAGUUAUUGUUGAUAAAAAUUUAGUAGGCUUAGAAUUAGCCAUCAAUUAAAGGAUGUUAUAAUUUAUUUUAUGUGUAGUAUGAUUUUAUAGAAGGUUUAAAUUUUUUAUUUAAAUGUCGUUUUAAAUUUAUUAAAUCGAGUAAUUAUGAUGAAAUUAGUAUAUUAAUUGGGUUUAAUUUAAGGUAAUUUUUAGGUUAUAUUAAGGAAUUAGGCAAAUAAAUGCUCGCCUGUUUAACAAAAACAUGUCUUUAUGAUAAUAAUUUAAAGUCUGACCUGCCCACUGAAUUUUAUUUGAAGGGCCGCGGUAUUUUGACCGUGCAAAGGUAGCAUAAUCAUUAGUCUUUUAAUUGGAGGCUGGAAUGAAUGGUCGGACGAGGCAUUGACUGUCUCAGUGUGAAUGAUAUUAGAAUUUAACUUCUAAGUUAAAAGGCUUAGAUUUAUUUAAAGGACGAGAAGACCCUAUAGAGCUUUAUAGUGAAGAAUAUAUAAUUUAUUUGGUUGGAUUUAUUUUAUAUUUUAUUAGUUAUUUUGUUGGGGUGACAGGAAGAUAGGUAAAACUCUUUUUAAUUUUAGACCAUUGAUUUAUGAGUUGUUGAUCCAUUAUUAAUGAUUAUAAGACUAAGUUACCUUAGGGAUAACAGCGUAAUCUUUUUUGAGAGUUCUUAUCGACAAAAAGGGUUGCGACCUCGAUGUUGGAUUAAGGGUAAUUUUGGGUGUAGAUGUUCAAAUUUUAGGUCUGUUCGACCUUUAGAUCCUUACAUGAUCUGAGUUCAGACCGGCGUAAGCCAGGUCGGUUUCUAUCCUUAAUUAGUUAUGAUAUUUUAGUACGAAAGGACCAAAUAUUGGAAAUAAAGUUUUUUACAGGAUUGAUUGAUAUUAAUUU
RNAcentral lists this ribosomal RNA (1330 nucleotides) under Suwallia bimaculata. RNAcentral describes it as "16S ribosomal RNA". The stretch from base 626 to 1330 matches the Rfam family "Archaeal large subunit ribosomal RNA", at positions 1423 to 2808 of the family's 2987-position model. Lineage: Eukaryota; Metazoa; Arthropoda; Insecta; Plecoptera; Chloroperlidae. The record is from RNAcentral.